UUUCAACCACAUUUUCUGAUUUCCGGCAAUGCCCCCUGCCAGCUUGGUCUCUACCCAUUUUUGUGUUUGACAACAAUUCCAGCUGUAAUGACCUGUACUUUAGUGCCUCUCUCAUUCUACUCUUAUCUCUAUUUGCUUUCGGCUAUAUAUAGAUGACAAUUGCAUUUACAGACUCGGUAAAAUGAUGCCAAAGUCUGGAAGAGAGCCACUAGUAUUUAUAUGCUCAUAAUGAAACUUCAGUUCUUGAAAAAUUCUUGCUAAAUACAUCUUCUAACCUGAGGGAAAACCAAAAGA
RNAcentral lists this unclassified non-coding RNA (294 nucleotides) under Hevea brasiliensis (rubber tree). Lineage: Eukaryota; Viridiplantae; Streptophyta; Magnoliopsida; Malpighiales; Euphorbiaceae. The record is from RNAcentral.